GGUAUGGAUCCGAAACCUCUAGAAGGAUAAAAAAGGCUCUCCACACUCUACUCCUACUCAAUACGUCCCCGGCGUACAGAGCGG
Non-coding RNA from Anopheles minimus, 84 nucleotides. The record is from Rfam. Lineage: Eukaryota; Metazoa; Arthropoda; Insecta; Diptera; Culicidae.